GGUGAACCUUGGGAUGACUCUUCCUCUUCGUCUUCUUCACCAAACCGAGGAUGAGUUGAAUAUUUGGGUUUACUAACUUGUGAAGUAGUAUUGAUUCCUUGUAAUGUUACUUUGGAUUCUAAAGGAUCAAUAAAACUUCUACUUGAUUUAUAGCUACUCAUUCUAUCUAGGCUGUUCCUAGAAGGAAUAUGUUUAUCUUUCUUAGAAGUACUUGCUAAACUUCUAUUAUCAAA
This 233-nucleotide long non-coding RNA is filed under the name Actinidia chinensis (golden kiwifruit). RNAcentral's name for it is "long non-coding RNA (ACHI_LNC003562)". The record is from RNAcentral. Lineage: Eukaryota; Viridiplantae; Streptophyta; Magnoliopsida; Ericales; Actinidiaceae.